Long non-coding RNA from Scomber japonicus (chub mackerel), 347 nucleotides. RefSeq lists it as uncharacterized. The transcript is spliced from 3 exons. NCBI's taxonomy places the organism in Eukaryota, Metazoa, Chordata, Actinopteri, Scombriformes, Scombridae. The record is from RefSeq and is a predicted model, not a curated record.
UGUCAUCAGCUGCCAUAUACAGAAGAAAACCACUUUCCCUAAUUGUCAAAUAGAUGCGUACAUCUUUGAAACGGACCAGCAUAAGCAAUACUGUGUGGAUCCAACUGCUGAGUGGCUCCCGAGGAGACUUAAGAGGUUAGAACAGAGAGGAAUAAAAUGUACAGACCUUUAACAAAGCCUUCAAUAACCAAGAUGAGGAUGAUGCAACAUGACCUUCUGAGCAGAAUGGUGGCGCUAAUUUCUGUUAAACUUUUCUAACUUUGAUCAAAUGUUUUACUUUCUCUAUUUUUCAAUACAUAUUAACAAGUGGCUUGGCAAAAAUCUUACUAUCUUAUAAGCAAAUUAAA